CGAAGACCGGAACACCGCGACGACGACGCGACGGCGGCCCAAAUUCCAAAAUUCCGGUGGCGUCGACAGACACUCGGGCCAGGACUACAAGCCUCGCAAGCCUACAGCAAAAGCUGGCCUUGGGCCGACUUGCUUCACGGGCUGAGCUACUGAAACUUCUUGGGCUUUAAGAUGGGCUGAACCUGAGCAAAUAACAACUUGCUGGACUGAGGAAAGUUGCUGGGCUUGUCUUCAGAUGGGUCAAAUGUGCAGGCUUCGCUGGGCUUCACUAGCUUCUUGGGCUGAAGGAGAUGGGCUGCUCUUUCUCUUGGGCUUGCUGGGCCGUGAAGCUACUGGAAUUGCUGGCCCAAACCGUGGGCUGCUCCUUGGCGGCUGCUGCACAGGUGGCUUCACGGUCAACAACACCAGAAAUCGGCUUCGGUAGAAGGAGACCAGCUUGGGUCUUCGUUGGUGAAAAAAUGACCGAGCGUGCGAUGGGAGGAAACAGAUCACGGGGCUGUAGUAUUUGGUGGAGCUGCAGUUGACCAAGGACGUGGCAGCUCGUGGAUGCUGCUUCGUGGCUUGACUCGGCUGACUCGGUGGCCGACAAACUCGGUGGAGAAGGGGCACAAACGCUUGUUGGGUUGAUGGGCAGUAGAUGCACGGCAGCUAGCACACGGUCUUCCUCUUCGCUGAACGUUGACUGGAGAUGAGGAGGAACGGACGAGUGGCGUGGCUGCUUCGUGGGAUGCUUGGACGGCAAAGCUGGCGUGCGGCCAUGGAGAUGCUGGGGACGCGCGGCAGAAGAAAUGGAGAAGCACGUGGGAAGCUGAAGCUUGUUCGGUGGAGAUGGGCAAUUAAUGGAGGAGCAGAUGGUUGGCAGUAGCUUCGGUGGGGUUUUACGAGUCAACUCCAAGCUUUCGGUGAAAUUGUGGUUGACCGAAAGAUGAAGGAGACAGCGAAUGGUGGAGCGACCAAAUGGAGAAGCAGCUGCUGGCGUCGACCGGUGGCUUCGCUGGCUUCGGUUCACGGUUGAAUUGUCGAGCUUCAAAUAAAAAUGAAAGAAGAGGCAGAGCCGAGGAGGGGUAGUCUUCAAUGACUUCUUCGUUUCUCUUCAGCUAUGGCGUCGCAUGAAAUGGGGAGAAUGAAGGAGGAAUAAUUUACGACAACUAGAGAGAGAGGAUGAGGGAGAGGUAGAUGGAUAGAGAUGAGAGGUGAGGGGGCUCCACUUGACUUAAU
Molecule: long non-coding RNA, 1218 nt
Filed under: Eucalyptus grandis
Lineage: Eukaryota; Viridiplantae; Streptophyta; Magnoliopsida; Myrtales; Myrtaceae
Description: long non-coding RNA (EGRA_LNC002814)
Source: RNAcentral